Molecule: transfer RNA, 87 nt
Filed under: Pseudomonadota bacterium
Lineage: Bacteria; Pseudomonadati; Pseudomonadota
Also listed under: 1 other name
Description: tRNA-Ser
Rfam family: tRNA
About the family: Transfer RNA (tRNA) molecules are approximately 80 nucleotides in length. Their secondary structure includes four short double-helical elements and three loops (D, anti-codon, and T loops).
Source: RNAcentral
GGAGGGGUCGCAUAGUGGCCGAGUGCGCACGCUUGGAAAGCGUGUAUCCGAGUAAUCGGAUCGUGGGUUCAAAUCCCACCCCCUCCG